This is a long non-coding RNA of Hirundo rustica (Barn swallow), 626 nucleotides long. RefSeq lists it as uncharacterized. The record is from RefSeq and is a predicted model, not a curated record. NCBI's taxonomy places the organism in Eukaryota, Metazoa, Chordata, Aves, Passeriformes, Hirundinidae. The transcript is spliced from 3 exons.
ACAGUCCAAAACAACUGCUUGGAGGCAUCAGUAUGGAAGGUUGUUUAAUUCUUCACCUCUGCAAAGUGAGGACAGAAGAGUCAUGAUUGAGGUUCACAGAUGAAUGGAAAAAUGCUCCAGUGCAGUGUGGUCCCGCGAGGAAUUUCAUUAAUACAGCUGGGAGAAGGCAGUGGAUUGCUGUGCUGGCACUGGAGUGACUCCUCCAGGCAGAAGGGUCCCUCCUGGCAGGGGAAGGGAUUUCUGGAGCCAGGAAUGCACCAGGGUCAGUGUGCUGCAGAACUGUACCUUCCAAUAUGCGGAAUUAUGACUUCCCUACCUGAGUCUAAGCUAGACUCAGGUGUCCCAGGCUCUCCAUUAGCUAUUCUGCCUCCUAGAUUCUCACAGCAUUCAUUAAAAUAUUAUUGCAUGCAAGCCAGCAUUGCCCUUAAUAAAAACAAAUAAAGAGACGCUGAGGUUUUUCCCUGUUUUAUAAACAAAUCCUCCUUGUAAUCAUUCUGAAUACUAGUCUCCUCCACAAUUUACUAUGGUAUGGUUAGAUGUCACCCAUUAAAAUCUAUUCAAAUACAACAUGCACAGUAAAUUGAGAAUAAAGAAACAUCAGAAGAGAUGCAAAACCUGGUUUUAUU